Haemorhous mexicanus (house finch) is the source of this 2465-nucleotide RNA transcript. It is a transcript of the gene named ABC transporter F family member 4-like, with no coding region annotated. NCBI's taxonomy places the organism in Eukaryota, Metazoa, Chordata, Aves, Passeriformes, Fringillidae. The transcript has 5 exons. The record is from RefSeq and is a predicted model, not a curated record.
CUUCUCCUCAUUGGUCCUGGGUCUCAAGUCCCGCCCCGCUGUCUUUUAUCUCAAUCCUCAUUGGCUGCCGCUCUGAGGGCUCAAAAAUGGCGGCGGCGGCGGCGCCGAGCGGCUGCGAACGGGCGCCGGAUUGGGGCGAGGCCGAAAACGCAUGCGCGGAGCUAGAAGGGGGCGUGGCCAGUGGGGACCACGCCCUGUGCGUGACGCCCCUUAGCGGAGAGAUGGAAGGGCGGGAAAAUGGCGGGAAAAGCGAGGGAAAUGGCGGGAAAAAUGAGGGAAAAGGCGGGAAAAGUAGGCGGGAGGAGGAAGAGGAGGAAGAGGAGAGGGAAAUUGGGGUGAAAAAGGGGGAAAACGGGGAAAAAAUGGAGGAAAAUGGAGGAAAAAUGGGGAAAAUGGAGAGUGAGGAAGAGGAGGAGGGAGAGGAGAGGAAGGAAAAUGGGGAAAAUUUAGGGAAAAAUGGGAAAAAUGAGGGGGAAAAGGGGGAAAUUGGGAGUGAGGAGGAAGAGGAGGUGAAGAAAAUUGGGGUGAAAAAGGGGAAAAAUGAGGAAAAAUUGGGGGAAAUUGGGGAGAAAAAGGGGAAAAUGGAGAGUGAGGAAGAGGAGGAAGAGGAGGAGGAAGAGGAGAGGAGGAAGAUUGGGGUGAAAAAAGGAAAAAAUGGGGAAAAAUCUGUGAAAAAUGAGGGGAAAAUGGGGAAAUUUGGGGUAAAAAGGAGGAAAAUUGAGAGUGAGGAGGAGGAGGAGGAAGAUGAGGAAGAGGAGAGGAAGAAAAAUGAGGUGAAAAAAGGAAAAAUCGGGGAAAAAUCUGGGAAAAAUGGGGCAAAAAAGGGGAAAAUGGAGAGUGAGGAAGAGGAAGAUGAGGAUGAGGAGGAGGAGGAGGAUGAGAGGAGAAAAAUUGGGGUGAAAAAGGGGAAAAAAGAGGAAAAAAUGGGGAAAAUUGGGGUAAAAAGGAGGAAAAUUGAGAGUGAGGAAGAGGAGGAGGAAGAUGAGGAGGAGGAGAAGAGGAAAAUUGGGGGGAAAAAUGGGGGGAAAUGGGGGAAAACAGAGGAAAAAAUGGGAAAAAUUGGGGCAAAAAAGGGGAAAAUGGAGAGUGAGGAAGAGGAGGAGGAAGAUGAAGAUGAAGACGAGGAAGAAACGAGGAAAAUUGGGGUGAAAAAGGGGAAAAAAGAGGAAAAAAUGGGGAAAAUUGGGGCAAAAAGGAAGAAAAUUGAGAGUGAGGAAGAGGAGGAGGAAGAUGAGGAGGAGGAAGAUGAGGAGGAGAGGAAGAAAAAUGGGGUGAAAAAAGGAAAAAAUGGGGGAAAAUCUGGGAGAAAGGAGGAAAAAAUGGGAAAAAAUGGGGCAAAAAGGAAGAAAAUUGAAAGUGAGGAAGAGGAGGAUGAAGAUGAGGAAGAGGAAGAGGAGGAGAGGAGGAAGAUUGGGGUGAAAAAGGGAAAAAUUGGGGAAAAACCUGGGAAAAAUGAGAAAAAAAUGGGGGAAAAUGGGGCAAAAAAGGGCAAAAUGGAGAGUGAGGAAGAGGAGGAGGAAGAUGAGGAGGAGGAAGAUCCAGGUGGGAAAAAUGGGAGGAAAAUGGGGAAAAAUGGGGAAAAAAUAGGAAAAAAGGAGCAAAAAAUGGGAAAAAAUGAGGCCAAAAAAGGCAAAAUGGAGAGUGAGGAAGAGGAGGAGGAAGAUGAGGAGGAGGAGGAGGAAGAGGAAGAUUCAGACUGGGAAAAUAUGAGGAAAAAAGGGAGAAAAAUGGGGAAAAAAACCCAAAAAACGGCCAAAAAUGGGGCCAAAAAAGCCAAAAUUGAGAGUGAGGAAGAAGAGGAGGAUGAAGAUGAGGAAGAUGAGGAGGAAGAGGAAGAUUCAGACCGGGAAAAUAAGGGGAAAAACGGGAAAAAAAAGGUGAAAAAACCCCAAAAAAUGGCCAAAAAUGGGGCUAAAAAAGGGAAAUUUGAGAGUGAGGAAGAGGAGGAGGAAGAGGAGGAGGAAGAAAAAGCCCAAAAAGCCCCGAAAAUGCCCCAAAAAUCCCCGAAAAUCGCCCAGAAUUCCUCGGGCUCGGAUUCGGAGGAUUUGCCGCUGGCGAAAUGGGCGGAAAAAACGGCAAAAACGGGAAAAGGAGGAAGAGGAGGAGAGGAGGAAGAGCAGGAGGAGGAGGAGGAAGGGCGAGGAGGAGGAAGAGGAAGAGUGGUGGAGGCGCGGGAAGGACCCGCCGGAAGUGGCGCGGCUGAAGCGAUACCUCCGAGCCGCUGGGGGGCGCCCUAACUACAAGCAGCUCUUCCGGAAGUGCCGCAGCCGCCGCGAGGUGCUGGAGGCGCUCAGGGGAGCCCUGCGGGACCUCGGGCUCCGCGGCGCUCCCUCCCUGGCCCGCUGCCGCCGCCUCGGCCGACGCCGCGAGGAAAAAGCCGAACUCGCCGCCCUCGACGCCUCCAACAUUUUACCAGCGAGAUCCCGGCGGAGAAACGCCGAAAAUGCCCCAAAAUCGGCGCCGGC